UACGAAGGGGACUAGCGUUGUUCGGAAUCACUGGGCGUAAAGCGCACGUAGGCGGAUAUGUCAGUCAGGGGUGAAAUCCCGGGGCUCAACCUCGGAACUGCCCUUGAUACAGCAUAUCUUGAGUCCGAUAGAGGUGGGUGGAAUUCCUAGUGUAGAGGUGAAAUUCGUAGAUAUUAGGAAGAACACCGGUGGCGAAGGCGGCCUACUGGACCAACACUGACACUGAGGAGCGAAAGCCAGGGGAGCAAACGGG
This 253-nucleotide ribosomal RNA is filed under the name uncultured bacterium. RNAcentral describes it as "partial 16S ribosomal RNA". It matches the Rfam family "Bacterial small subunit ribosomal RNA", at positions 524 to 776 of the family's 1533-position model. The record is from RNAcentral.